Molecule: RNA transcript, 1840 nt
Organism: Daucus carota subsp. sativus
Lineage: Eukaryota; Viridiplantae; Streptophyta; Magnoliopsida; Apiales; Apiaceae
Exons: 3
Source: RefSeq, a predicted model, not a curated record
AUUGGGAUUUUGGUCAGGGAUGCUCCUGAGUUCUGAGCUUCAGUAUGAACAAUCUUCCUUCUUUCUGUUUGAGUCAUACUUGAUAGAUGACCACUUAAUCCAAAGUUCUGAACACAGUUUGUGUUUGAGUUUCAGCUCAUAAUAAGACUUGUACAUUUACUUCAUAAUUCUUCACUUCCUUUCAUACAUUUCAUUCCUUGGCUUUCAUGGCUUCUUCUGUUUCCUUUUCACCACACUCACUAACCCUUUUGCAAUUUUCCCACACAAAGUCUCAAAUCAAAUUCUUGCCCAUCAAUCAAUUACCCCAUUUAUUGAUUCACAAAAAUACAAUAAAUUCAAGAACCCCUCCAAAAGUUGAGAUUUUUAAUCAUCUGGGUCACUUUUCAAUCUCUUGUUUUUCAACUAAAUCAUCUUCAGAUGGGUCUUUUGAUUUGGUUCAAGAAGAUGAGUUGGUUUUGCCAGCAAGUAAAACUGGCCCAGUUAAGACCCUUUUCUUGGUUUUGUUGUGGGCUUCUGUUUUUGUAGGGUUUUAUGUGGCUUCCGGAGAUGCCAAUGCUGCUGCUGACUCAAUCAGAGCUUCUAGUUUUGGUCUGAGAUUUGCUGAGGCUUUGAGGGGCUUUGGUUGGCCUGAUGAGGCUGUUGUUUUUGCUCUGGCUACGCUUCCGGUUAUCGAGCUUCGUGGAGCUAUUCCUGUGGGUUAUUGGUUGCAGCUAAAACCUGUGGUGCUCACUGUUUUAUCUGUUUUGGGGAAUAUGGUUCCUGUGCCCUUUAUCGUACUCUACUUGAAAAAGUUUGCAACUUUCCUCGCUGGAAGAAACCAGUCUGCAUCUCAGUUCCUUGACAUGUUAUUCAAGAGAGCAAAGGAGAAGGCGGGCCCUGUGGAAGAGUUUCAGUGGCUUGGCCUGAUGCUGUUUGUAGCUGUCCCUUUCCCUGGUACAGGCGCUUGGACAGGAGCCAUAAUUGCUUCUGUUCUCGACAUGCCAUUCUGGUCUGCUGUCUCGGCAAACUUUUUCGGCGUUGUCCUGGCUGGCCUUUUGGUAAACUUGCUGGUGAAUCUUGGCCUCAAGUAUGCUGUACUUACUGGUAUUGCGCUCUUCAUUAUAUCAACAUUCAUGUGGAGUAUCCUUCGACAGCUUAAAAGGUCUUUGAGUUCAUCAAAUUGAUGUCAAACGACACUAGUAGAGUCGUAAUAGGCACAGAGAACUGCAGGCAUCGAAAUCAUCUUGUGUGCAGUGACCUUGUAUUGCAGACUCUUUACCCUUUGCACCAUUUGACAGAAAUCCUCUUUGUUGGAGUCUGUUCACAGGUAUAUUGCUAGAUGGAUUUGACGAGUAGUAACAAGUUGUUCGUUGCAAUCAUGGCAACAUUACAUAACGUAGAUCAGAUUUUAAUCUAAGUUGCUUGAUUUUGAAUGUAAUCUUGUGGCAGAAGAGUACAGCGAUUACUAAGCACACAUUUCUAUUAGUUUCAGCUGAAAAUCCGACAUCGAACAAACACAAGAAUUGAAAGAUCAAUGAAUAUUCAUGAGAAGGCAAAUGCAGUUCCACAAUGCAAGCGAAAGAAUAUAAGCAUAGCAAAUUCAAAGCGUAACCCAAGCUUACCUGUAGAACUUAUUUACAAGAUACUUCAAUGGCUGCUCGUCUCGUCUCUUUUGUGAUUCAAGGCGGUUUCCAAAUUAUGGCGCUCUUUGAUCUCUAGUCCUGAUUUUAUAAAAUCGAGAAGGUUGUGGCAUUGUACAAUUCUGGUAUGAAGUUGCAGACUGGAUUUUAUUCGAACUAUGAUCGUGAAUUUUGCUACGACGAUUGACGAGUGUAAUAAUGAUUUUAAAGCAGUUGAGAUC